This 1357-nucleotide ribosomal RNA is filed under the name Pseudomonas sp. saju-pthlm3. RNAcentral describes it as "16S ribosomal RNA". It matches the Rfam family "Bacterial small subunit ribosomal RNA", at positions 76 to 1436 of the family's 1533-position model. The record is from RNAcentral. Lineage: Bacteria; Pseudomonadati; Pseudomonadota; Gammaproteobacteria; Pseudomonadales; Pseudomonadaceae.
GUCUUCGGAUGCUGACGAGUGGCGAACGGGUGAGUAAUACAUCGGAACGUGCCUGGUAGUGGGGGAUAACUACUCGAAAGAGUAGCUAAUACCGCAUGAGAUCUACGGAUGAAAGCAGGGGACCUUCGGGCCUUGUGCUACCAGAGCGGCUGAUGGCAGAUUAGGUAGUUGGUGGGGUAAAGGCUUACCAAGCCUGCGAUCUGUAGCUGGUCUGAGAGGACGACCAGCCACACUGGGACUGAGACACGGCCCAGACUCCUACGGGAGGCAGCAGUGGGGAAUUUUGGACAAUGGGCGAAAGCCUGAUCCAGCAAUGCCGCGUGCAGGAUGAAGGCCCUCGGGUUGUAAACUGCUUUUGUACGGAACGAAAAGCCUGGGGCCAAUACCCCCGGGUCAUGACGGUACCGUAAGAAUAAGCACCGGCUAACUACGUGCCAGCAGCCGCGGUAAUACGUAGGGUGCAAGCGUUAAUCGGAAUUACUGGGCGUAAAGCGUGCGCAGGCGGUUUUGAAACAGUGGUGAAAUCCCCGGGCUCAACCUGGGAACUGCCAUUGUGACUGCAAGGCUAGAGUGCGGCAGAGGGGGAUGGAAUUCCGCGUGUAGCAGUGAAAUGCGUAGAUAUGCGGAGGAACACCGAUGGCGAAGGCAAUCCCCUGGGCCUGCACUGACGCUCAUGCACGAAAGCGUGGGGAGCAAACAGGAUUACAUACCCUGGUAGUCCACGCCCUAAACGAUGUCAACUGGUUGUUGGGUCUUAACUGACUCACUAACGAAGCUAACGCGUGAAGUUGACCGCCUGGGGAGUACGGCCGCAAGGUUGAAACUCAGAGGAAUUGACGGGGACCCGCACAAUCGGUGGAGAUGUGGUUUAAUUGAUGCAACGCGAAAAACCUUACCCACCUUUGACAUGGCAGGAACUUACCAGAGAUGGUUUGGUGCUCGAAAGAGAACCUGCACACAGGUGCUGCAUGGCUGUCGUCAGCUCGUGUCGUGAGAUGUUGGGUUAAGUCCCGCAACGAGCGCAACCCUUGCCAUUAGUUGCUACAUUCAGUUGAGCACUCUAAUGGGACUGCCGGUGACAAACCGGAGGAAGGUGGGGAUGACGUCAAGUCCUCAUGGCCCUUAUAGGUGGGGCUACACACGUCAUACAAUGGCUGGUACAAAGGGUUGCCAACCCGCGAGGGGGAGCUAAUCCCAUAAAGCCAGUCGUAGUCCGGAUCGCAGUCUGCAACUCGACUGCGUGAAGUCGGAAUCGCUAGUAAUCGUGGAUCAGAAUGUCACGGUGAAUACGUUCCCGGGUCUUGUACACACCGCCCGUCACACCAUGGGAGCGGGUCUCGCCAGAAGUAGGUAGCCU